ACCUGCUCAAUGAAUUUUUUUAAAUAGCCGCAGUACCUUGACUGUGCAAAGGUAGCAUAAUCAGUUGGCUUAUAAUUGAAGUCUGGCAUGAAUGGAUCUACUGGAAAAAAUUGUCUACUAAAAAUAAAUUGAAGUUACUUAAUAAGUGAAAAUUCUUAUGUAUAUAUAAAAGACGAGAAGACCCUAGAAAUUUUUUAUAAAUGAAUAUAUAAAUAUUUUGUUGGGGCGACAAGGUAACAAAUAACUUACCUAUUUUUUUGAAUUUUAUUUAAAGAGUAAUUAAAUUACUCUAGGGAUAACAGCAUUAUUUAUUAAAAAGUUUGUGACCUCGAUGUUGGACUAGGAAAAUUUUUAUUUAGAAGAUAAAAGUAUAGGCUCUGUUCGAGCUUCUUUUCCUACGUGAUCUGAGUUCAGACCGGA
This 420-nucleotide ribosomal RNA is filed under the name Ganula sp. MVHN 2179. RNAcentral's name for it is "partial 16S ribosomal RNA". It matches the Rfam family "Archaeal large subunit ribosomal RNA", at positions 1949 to 2689 of the family's 2987-position model. Lineage: Eukaryota; Metazoa; Mollusca; Gastropoda; Stylommatophora; Hygromiidae. The record is from RNAcentral.